RNAcentral lists this ribosomal RNA (1490 nucleotides) under Lactiplantibacillus plantarum. Its description in RNAcentral is "bacterial SSU rRNA". It matches the Rfam family "Bacterial small subunit ribosomal RNA". The record is from RNAcentral. Lineage: Bacteria; Bacillati; Bacillota; Bacilli; Lactobacillales; Lactobacillaceae.
GACGAACGCUGGCGGCGUGCCUAAUACAUGCAAGUCGAACGAACUCUGGUAUUGAUUGGUGCUUGCAUCAUGAUUUACAUUUGAGUGAGUGGCGAACUGGUGAGUAACACGUGGGAAACCUGCCCAGAAGCGGGGGAUAACACCUGGAAACAGAUGCUAAUACCGCAUAACAACUUGGACCGCAUGGUCCGAGUUUGAAAGAUGGCUUCGGCUAUCACUUUUGGAUGGUCCCGCGGCGUAUUAGCUAGAUGGUGAGGUAACGGCUCACCAUGGCAAUGAUACGUAGCCGACCUGAGAGGGUAAUCGGCCACAUUGGGACUGAGACACGGCCCAAACUCCUACGGGAGGCAGCAGUAGGGAAUCUUUCACAAUGGACGAAAGUCUGAUGGAGCAACGCCGCGUGAGUGAAGAAGGGUUUCGGCUCGUAAAACUCUGUUGUUAAAGAAGAACAUAUCUGAGAGUAACUGUUCAGGUAUUGACGGUAUUUAACCAGAAAGCCACGGCUAACUACGUGCCAGCAGCCGCGGUAAUACGUAGGUGGCAAGCGUUGUCCGGAUUUAUUGGGCGUAAAGCGAGCGCAGGCGGUUUUUUAAGUCUGAUGUGAAAGCCUUCGGCUCAACCGAAGAAGUGCAUCGGAAACUGGGAAACUUGAGUGCAGAAGAGGACAGUGGAACUCCAUGUGUAGCGGUGAAAUGCGUAGAUAUAUGGAAGAACACCAGUGGCGAAAGGCGGCUGUCUGGUCUGUAACUGACGCUGAGGCUCGAAAGUAUGGGUAGCAAACAGGAUUAGAUACCCUGGUAGUCCAUACCGUAAACGAUGAAUGCUAAGUGUUGGAGGGUUUCCGCCCUUCAGUGCUGCAGCUAACGCAUUAAGCAUUCCGCCUGGGGAGUACGGCCGCAAGGCUGAAACUCAAAGGAAUUGACGGGGGCCCGCACAAGCGGUGGAGCAUGUGGUUUAAUUCGAAGCUACGCGAAGAACCUUACCAGGUCUUGACAUACUAUGCAAAUCUAAGAGAUUAGACGUUCCCUUCGGGGACAUGGAUACAGGUGGUGCAUGGUUGUCGUCAGCUCGUGUCGUGAGAUGUUGGGUUAAGUCCCGCAACGAGCGCAACCCUUAUUAUCAGUUGCCAGCAUUAAGUUGGGCACUCUGGUGAGACUGCCGGUGACAAACCGGAGGAAGGUGGGGAUGACGUCAAAUCAUCAUGCCCCUUAUGACCUGGGCUACACACGUGCUACAAUGGAUGGUACAACGAGUUGCGAACUCGCGAGAGUAAGCUAAUCUCUUAAAGCCAUUCUCAGUUCGGAUUGUAGGCUGCAACUCGCCUACAUGAAGUCGGAAUCGCUAGUAAUCGCGGAUCAGCAUGCCGCGGUGAAUACGUUCCCGGGCCUUGUACACACCGCCCGUCACACCAUGAGAGUUUGUAACACCCAAAGUCGGUGGGGUAACCUUUUAGGAACCAGCCGCCUAAGGUGGGACAGAUGAUUAGGGUG